CGGCAUGCCUAACACAUGCAAGUCGAACGAGACCUUCGGGUCUAGUGGCGCACGGGUGCGUAACGCGUGGGAACCUGCCUUUAGGUUCGGAAUAACUCAGAGAAAUUUGAGCUAAUACCGGAUAAUGUCUUCGGACCAAAGAUUUAUCGCCUUUAGAUGGGCCCGCGUUGGAUUAGCUAGUUGGUGAGGUAAAGGCUCACCAAGGCGACGAUCCAUAGCUGGUCUGAGAGGAUGAUCAGCCACACUGGGACUGAGACACGGCCCAGACUCCUACGGGAGGCAGCAGUGGGGAAUAUUGGACAAUGGGCGAAAGCCUGAUCCAGCAAUGCCGCGUGAGUGAUGAAGGCCUUAGGGUUGUAAAGCUCUUUUACUCGGGACGAUAAUGACGGUACCGAGAGAAUAAGCCCCGGCUAACUCCGUG
RNAcentral lists this ribosomal RNA (421 nucleotides) under uncultured bacterium. RNAcentral describes it as "bacterial SSU rRNA". It matches the Rfam family "Bacterial small subunit ribosomal RNA", at positions 40 to 507 of the family's 1533-position model. The record is from RNAcentral.